This 789-nucleotide small RNA is filed under the name Arabidopsis thaliana (thale cress). RNAcentral describes it as "ATSL267920". The record is from RNAcentral. Lineage: Eukaryota; Viridiplantae; Streptophyta; Magnoliopsida; Brassicales; Brassicaceae.
UAGAAUUGAACUAGAUCUUAAAAGCCUAAAUAUUGUAUCCUUGUUAAAAGAUACAAAGACAAAGACUCAUAUUGACUUCGGCUACACUAUCAAAGCUUUGAGAAGCAAGAAGAAGCUUAGUUAGUGUUUUGGAGUCAAAUAUGACUUGAUGUCAUGUGUAUCAUUGAGUAGAAGAACUUAAACGGCAAUCGGAUCUUAAAAGCCUAAGUAGUGUAUCCUUGUUAGAAGACACAAAGCCAAAGACUCAUAUGGACUUUAGCUACACCAUGAAAGCUUUGAGAAGCAAGAAGAAGGUUGGUUAGUGUUUUGGAGUCGAAUAUGACUUGAUGUCAUGUGUAUGAUUGAGUAUAAGAACUUAACCGCAACCCGAUCUUAUAAGCCUAAGUAGUGUUUCCUUGUUAGAAGAUACAAAGGCAAAGACUCAUACGGAGUUUGGCUACACCAUGAAAGCUUAGAGAAGGUAGAAGAAGGUUGGUUAGUGUUUUGGAGUCGAAUAUGAGUUGAUGUCAUGUGUAUGAUUGAGUAUAAGAACUUAAACCGCAACCGGAUCUUAAAGGCGUAAGAAUUGUAUCCUUGUUAGAAGACACAAAGCCAAAGACUCAUACGGACUUUGGCUACACCAUUAAAGCUUUGAGAAGCUAGAAGAAGGUUGGUUAGUGUUUUGGAGUCGAAUAUGACUUGAUGUCAUGUGUAUGAUUUAGUAUAAAAACUUAAGCCGCAACUCGAUCUUAAAAGCCUAAUUAGUGUAUCCUUGUUAGAAGACACAAAGCCAAAGACUCAUAUAAACUU